UACAGAGGGUGCAAGCGUUAAUCGGAAUUACUGGGCGUAAAGCGUGCGUAGACGGUUACAUAAGUCGGGUGUGAAAGCCCCGGGCUCAACCUGGGAAUUGCAUUCGAGACUGCGUAGCUAGGGUGCGGAAGAGGGAAGCGGAAUUUCCGGUGUAGCGGUGAAAUGCGUAGAUAUCGGAAGGAACACCAGUGGCGAAAGCGGCUUCCUGGUCCAGCACCGACGUUCAGGCGCGAAAGCGUGGGGAGCAAACAGG
Molecule: ribosomal RNA, 253 nt
Filed under: uncultured bacterium
Lineage: Bacteria
Description: partial 16S ribosomal RNA
Rfam family: Bacterial small subunit ribosomal RNA
Source: RNAcentral